Molecule: small RNA, 45 nt
Filed under: Mycolicibacterium llatzerense
Lineage: Bacteria; Bacillati; Actinomycetota; Actinomycetes; Mycobacteriales; Mycobacteriaceae
Description: Mycobacterium llatzerense Mycobacterium sRNA Ms_AS-5
Rfam family: Mycobacterium sRNA Ms_AS-5
Source: Rfam by way of RNAcentral
GUCGGGGUACUGACCGGUGAACAGUGUCGGCCGGCUGGGUGCACA